Long non-coding RNA from Pezoporus flaviventris, 8342 nucleotides. RefSeq lists it as uncharacterized. Lineage: Eukaryota; Metazoa; Chordata; Aves; Psittaciformes; Psittacidae. The record is from RefSeq and is a predicted model, not a curated record. The transcript has 3 exons.
CCCUGAUGCCUAUGAGCAUUGUACCUUAGGGUGCUCAGCUGCUUACGGAGCAGAGGACUGACCUGCUAAGGAGGGUAUCUGAAACUACCGUGUCUUGCUCAUUUUCUCUCUGCAGAUAUGACAGCUUCUACUUUACCCCCAGGUGCUCACUAUGUGAAUAGCAUACAUCCCACUAAGAUGUAUCUGUUGCAGCGCACAAACUAAACCUGGCUGGGUUGAUUCCAUUGUGGUGACAUCUGAAGUGCAUUUCUAAGAACCAAAGAAGCGCCAUCUGAGAACGGCCAUGGGGGAAUGUCUGGUAAAAUGUGGGGAAACAUGUUUGCAUCAUUGUCCAGUAGAGUGGGUGCUGCUUCCAUUUCAUUCUGCAGAAUGCUGGGCAAAUAACUUCUGGCAACCAGAAAUCCCUGUAGAGGCUGUUCAUCACCAGCCAAAGCUCUUGCUGCUCUGCCUUGCCCAGACCCAUGAGAACCUACUGAGCAGCCUGGAGAUGGAACUGAUGAGAGCUUGUGUUUCAACAAGUGCAGCUUUUAAACAGGCUCUGCCCAUGGGGCUGAUGCACAGACAGGUUUAAUGACAAGUUAAAAUCAAUUACCCAAUGUCCAGCCCCUGGCUGCUACCAGCAGUUGUCAGCAACAGGUCCUGUUUUGGGCUGGCUGAGGGUGGUUGUUCUGCCAGCUGGAAUGACACAAAGUCCUUCUGAACCUGAGCAGUGAAGCUGGCCUGGAGACUCCCUCAAGCAGUGUGCAGGUGGGACCCAGUUGCUCCCUGGAUGCCUCUUGGCAGGUUUUCUCCUGUGGGAGAUGUGAGGAGUAGGGAUGGGAUAAAGAGGAUGCUCCAACCCACAGUGCAGGCAUCUACUGAGAUCUGCAGCCCCGUGACACCUGGCUUGGCUGUGGGCGCUCCCUGGCUUUGACACUUCUCACCCCUGCGAAAGGUGGUGGCUGCUGGGCCACAGUCCUGGCUGCGUUUUGAACCCAGCAGGAGGUUUGGCUGCUCAAAUGGCUGGAAUCCAUCUGGAAUGCCCUGCAGAGGCAGCUCCUGCCUUUCCCAGACAUAGGGUGCUGCCAUAUUCUGUACUGGGACAUGUCAGCUCCACCUGAAAUGCCCUGCAGGAGCUGUGUCUGGAGCCACUACAGGCUUCCACCAAGCCCUGCAAGACAUCUGCAAUGGGAACCCUUUCUCUCCAAAUGGUGAUCUGCACCUCUUAGAAGAUGCACUCUGCAUUACUGCAGUUUGGUCACUGGGUACGUACGGGAAAAUAGUCAGGAAGCAAAAAGAACAGGAGCUGAGAAGGAGGAUAAUUACAGUGAGCAGGUGUUUCUCUUAGACUGUAACUGGGCUGCUGGGAAUGAUGCACUUUCAGUGCUGAGCUCCCCCGACACUCCCCAGUUCCUCAUCUGGCCGUAGUCAGCAAGGGACUGCAGUUGGGUCAGGUGAUGGGCAAUCACCCUAAACCCCUGGGCAUGGUGGAGUGGAAGGGUAAUGGCUUGCUUUCAACUAGACAAUAUUCAAAGUCAUUUCCCCCCCUUCUUCUAGCUCACCGCAUGAUUUACAAACCAGGAAACACACGGCCCUUUGUUCUUACGCUGUCUGAUUUAGACAGUCGGUACGUGCUUUGCGGUGAACAGCGGUCGUCCUGGUGAGUUGUGCUGAUAAGAAGCUCUGAUCUUUGCACUGCCUUGGAGAGAAGGCAGCUAUCUGCUGUCCUCCAUCCCAGCACUGGGCGCUGCCUCAGUGCACAGUGACCAUGGCAGUGGAUGGGGAUGCUGCCAGCCAGGGACUAGCCCAGUGCAGUGGCUUAUUUGCUGCUGCUUUCUGACACCACACUGAAUGCCCGUGAGAGCCCCAGUGUCUUCCCACCAACACCUCAACAUUUCCACCUGACACUGCUGUGAGGGGUCAGGCUUGGGCAAAAACCACUUCAGUGAUGGUUCGUCAGGUCAUCACUAAAGGGUCUCUUUGUCCUUUAGGAGGGGAGCCACACAUUUGUGGCAUAGGAACGUGUGUGAGAGGAGGCCUGCAGAGAAGGUGGUGGUGUGGUUACUGAUGUGACAUGCUGCUUAGAGGGGGAAAGUCUGAUGUGGAGUCAUCCCCAAUGUCUUGAGUGGGUAAUGCAGUGCUGCCUGGAGGGAGGAGUACCAGCACUUCUGAGAUCACUUUGACAUCCUUCUUAAUACCAGGGGGUUUCAGUGGCAACAAAAUGCACUUUUAUGUUGAAAUGCAGAACUAAACGCCCCAAAUUUCGUGAGGUAAAAAGGUUCUUUGCAAGCAUUAGAACAGAAACAUACAUUGAUAAUCACUGGUAACUUUGGCACGGACUCUUGAGACACCUCUCUGUGCUCUCUGGGCUAACAGAAUUAAUCUGCAGCUGUUGCGGUUGACCCAGCCCAUCAAGUCCACCUUCACGCUCCAGUAUGUGAUGUCAGGCAGGGGCCUUAAUCCCAAAUGAUCUGUCUUUGUGUAUAUCCUUGUUUCCUGGCAAUCCACUGGUUAUAAACACUCCUCGGGUUUCCCAGUAAUGUAGCAUGUUGAAGAUUAAUUAGUUAUGGUACAAAUUUCUGCUCCUCAUGUUAAUUAAUUUCAGCAGAGGCACAUUUGCUGACCUCCCGAGGCUGGUGGAGCACAGCAGGUGCUUACGCAUGUUAAUGUAAAGCAGUUACUGGAGGUAAAUCAGCUGCGUUGAUUGCAGAGUCCCCUGGUUUGUCUCAAGUGAAUUAUUUCAAGCUGAAGCCAGCUCCUUUUAUCAUGCUUCAGGAUGGUUGGAGAUGGCUCUGCUAGCUUUGCUUAGCUCAGAUUUUGUAGCAAAAGAUGCAUCUUAAGAACACAAGGUGACAGACAUACUGAAGUAACACUUUAAAAACCUGUCAAUGCCAGUGCAGGCGGAGGGAUUUAAUGGAAUAUUGCUGAAAGUGGUUUUAAGGGUGGGACGCCACAUUGCACCCACCAGUGGAUCUGAGAAGCUUCAGUGCUGGAGCCUCUAGUGUUAUAAUAUGGAGAUUGCUCUUGCACAGUGUAUGUCAGAGUGUCAAAAACUUGAGAAAGUUAUGAAUGUCCCUGCAUCCCACAUGGGCAUAUCUCGGGUUGUUUACCAGCACUUGACACUUCACAAGCUCAGUGACACAAGUUCAGUGUUUUAGGUGCCUUCCAGAAAAGCAUCAAUUCUGUGCUCUGCAACUCCUUGUGAUUUGCUGUAGCAGACACAUUCGGAGCCAAGGUCUGACCAGGUGGCUUCAUCAGCCUUUUGGGAGAGCUGAAGAGUUGCUAAUUGUAACUCCAUAGUUUGGCAUCGGGCCUUCUCUUCCUGCCUGCUGUGACUAGCCUGUGUGCUGGUCAUGCUGUCAAUUCAGCCACUGAUGGCAUCUCAGAGAAAGCCUUGAGGUAGGUGAUGUUUCCUUUAAAGACUUCUGAGCUCAUGAGAAUGAGAUAGCGCAUUCCCAUGUGGUUAAGUUAUACGCUUACAAGUCCUGGCUAGAAGUGUUAGCAAAACAGCCUUUGGUUGCUAGGAGGUGCUGUGUGUGGAUUAAUUAAUCAGGAUGGUUGUGCCUUCUGUUUGCUAUCAUUGCUGAUGUAAAAGAGAGGUUUCCAAAGCUGAAAGUUGUGAUGGACUCUUGUUGGGCUGAGACCUUUACGUAUAGAAACACACACUAAGACAGUUGUGGCAAAUGUUAGUCAUUACAAAAUACUGCACAGAAAAAAGUCAGUCUAAACUGUGAGGCCCACAAGAGGCUCUGUCUGCUCUAAGCAGUUCGUCUGUCCAUGUUGUUACAUGCAGCAGCGACACAGAAACAGCCGGGACUCUGCUAGUACAAAAUAUUUUCCUCUUCCACUAAAUGGGGAAAGAGGCUGUGAGAUUUUUGGUCUGGUUUUGAAGCAACAUGCUGAACUUUCUUAACACUCAAGUGAGAGAUCUGGCUUGCCCCUUGCAAGAGCAAAGAAUGCUACCACAGGCUCUAAUUCCUUUACUGCAGUCAGAUGAGCUGCCUGUAUGAUCAUUUUCUGAUGUAUUUCCAUCAGUAUGGCUUAAGUUAAUAGCUGGGGAAGUAGAUGGGAUAAAAGUAAGUCAGCAGGCAAAACAGCAAAUCCAUGAAGAGUAUUGUAAAACCUAAUGGUGCUUGCAGCAGUCUCUUCAACUAGACCAUGAUGUAUGCCUGAAGCCCUAGACUGUGGUAGACACAAGGCAGUCUUGACUACACUCACACACAGAGGAUUGAAUCCACACAGCUUUUAAAUGUUUUUAGACACUAAACUCAUUGGACAAGCAAGCUUGUUGCUAGUUGGCUCCAAGCAUCUGUUCCUUGGGAGGUACUAUGCAAACAGAAGUAUUUAGUUUCCCAUCAACUGAAGUCAGGUGUUUCCUUGGCUCUUUGAAAAGAGUAUAGGCAGAAGGCUGGCACGACGUUCAAAUUCCCCAAAGUCCUUAGCUGGUGACAUUGCAUCAUAAACAAGACAACUGCCCCCAGGGGUCACGUGUUCAAUACACACUGAACUAGGAAUAGGGGCCCUAAUUCUGCAUCCUAUGGUUCUACCAGUCCUCAAGAUUGAUCCGUGUUAAGUGCUGUGUGAGGCUGGGAUUCUGAUUCUCCCACCAGCAUCUUCUGGUGCCUGGGCAGUUCAGUGAGUGCAAUCACAGCAGAAUAUCCAGGAUCUGCAGGGGGUGUCAGGAAGGGAAAAGGUGGGAUCCACAAACAAGUAUGUGAGCUCUACUGGUGCAGUGUAGGGGGAAAAUGGUGGACUAACCUUAGAGAACAAGCUGCAAAUUCACACCAAAGCACUAUGUGCUCACCCAAGAGGUAUUUCUGUUUUGUCUCUCUUUCAGCCAUGAAAAGAGGGGCCUGCACAGAAGAUAAGGCAACCUUUUGUAAUAGUGAGAUCCUUACACCUUUCAUCCAUAGAGGAACUCUUUCUCCUGAAGGAAUUCCACUCUGCAUCUUCUUCUCAGGAGCAUCCCUGAACCCAUGGUUUAUUGAAGAAUUGCAGAUUUUGCUGGAUAGUCUAGAGAUGUGCUGGGAAUCCCUAAGGGACCAGCCGGGCUGUCACAACACCUGCAGCGACAACUAUCUGCAAUUUAUGAUGAACAGGAUUACUGAAAUACUGCGAGACAGCAGCCAAAGGACUUGCCAUACAGGCAGUGGAGCUGUGGUAAAUCAGGCUGUGGAGUUACCCGUGCACUUCCAGAAAAGGAAGGCUACGCAGCUGCAGGAAUAACACAUUGCCCCACUGGUGCUGGAACCUGUCUUUGGCAAAAGGUUUGCAUAAAGGAGUUGUGACUGUGCAAGCCUACACUCCAUAACUGCAGUUACCUACACCUACUGGGCUUUUUGUCUCAGGCUCACCUCUGUAAUUAGAUGAAGUGAUAACCAAGUGGCACGCCAGCACCUGUGGCACAGCUCCUGGGCUUGCAGAACCCGUACUGCUGCUGACUUCUAUUAGUCACUCUCAACAGUGGCUAUUAAUGCAGCCAGGUACAAACUGGUUUUUACUUUGUUCCUCUUGGGUGAGUGAUCCUGGCUGUGAUUCUGCAAGUUGAUUAGGUCCCUGCUGCUAAAAUCAGUGGGGACAAGAUAUCUAAAUGCUUUUCAGAAUGUGAGACCUGUGGGACUGUUCUGCUUGAGCAAUUCAAAUUCAUGGAAGGAUCCCUAUAAAUAUUUCAUGGCCCCAAGGACAAACUAUGUUGUGGCUGCAAAGCUAGGCACAUAUAUGCCUCCAGAAGAAUAAACACAUUGCAGCAGCAAUGAGAAACUCUGCUCUUAGCCUGUCAGUACUUACAGCUGGCAUGCAGAAAGACAGAGUAUAGUUAAUGUUUUAGAAAUAGGUUUUGCACCAAUAUAGGUUUUCAGUUUUCAAUAUGUCUUUUAAAUGAAGCAGAAAUUACAUGCCUAUCUGCCCCCAGAUUUUCCUCAUUAGCAUUAAUCAAGCACACUUGACUCGCUUACAGAUGAAUUUGAUUAGGUUCAUGUAUACUCUUAGGAACCAAAAAUAAUGAAUCACGACUUGAGCGUACGUGCUGCUGCAGCCAACAUUGUUGCUUGGUAUCUGCUGCAGCAGUGAACUAACAGAUAAUUCCUAGAACUGGGAUCCAAACCAUUGGCAACAGGAGAUGCUAAAUGGCACAUAUGACAUAAAGAAAGCAGGACCACACAAAGUGGAAAAGCUAUAAAGUGCACAGUUAUUUAAAUGACUGUAUAGUUGGUUGAGAUUCUUUAUUUUCUGACACAGAAAGAGCUACAAUGGAAAACUUCACCCUGUCUACAUGCAUACACAAAUAUUUUUGCAUGUGUCCCAGCCUGUGUAGCUGUUAGAUCUGUGAGCUCACUUACGCUUCUUGUUUUAUAAUGCCAACAGAUUCUUCUGUUCAUCGGCUUUCAGCACCGAAGGAAAAAGGUGUCUUCCAAGAACAACAGUAAAAAGCAUUUGAGCUGUACAUUGAGCAUGUACAGCGGUGUAGCUCUGUGCAAAUCAUGUUUUAUGCACUCGCCACUGCAAGUGUAAAUAUACGCAAAGCCUACGUGCACAAGCACCCCUUGAGAAGCCGGCAGGGGAUGUAUCAUUGCACUGCCUGUAGAAUUGUUUGUUGAUAAGAAGAAAAAUGCAGAACAGAGAAGUGUUUCUGUUUUGACAGUUUAUUGAUAUUCCACAUAAAUUACUCUGACCUUCUCUCAUCCUCUUUUUUGUUUUUGGUUUUUUUUUUCAGAGAGUUUUAUUGUGUGGUAAUUCUUAUGCACACCCAUCUCACCAGCGAGGUCCCUGAGGACUGCCAAUGUGAUAAAAAGAUGCAAGACUAUAUGUAUUAUCUCUUAUUCCUGCUAACACAACAACCACCUGGGCCUUUGACAGACCUGAAAUCUACUGCAUUGUUUACCUAAGUGACAGAAAAUGCCUUUAAGAGGAGAAGUAGGCAUAUGAAAAGGGAAUAAUACAUAAAGAAACAUCUGCACUGAGGUCAUUUGUCACUUUUGGAAAGGUCUUUGAAAACAGUACAUACAUUUGGUAUAGCGUAAUGCUCAUGACACUAUGGGUCUUCUAUUCACUCACAGGCCUUAUCUGGCAUGUAUCAAGCUUUUAUGAUGUUUGUAGGAUCCGUGCUGCAUGCACAGGCUGCAGGGUCCUCCCUGACCCUGCCCAGUUCUUGCACUGUCUUAGGAAGCACUGCCCUCCCUGCUAUGCAAUGCUUACUUUGGAGCAGGUGCUUUGUACGUUAGCUUUUUGCUUUUCUCUUUUGCCAUUUCCCCCAUUUGCCAAACAAAUCCCUGGGGCAUCCUGUGCCAUCUCUGCUUGGCAGUCUCUGAGCUGUUGCUGCAGACUUGGCUGAGGGGUGACUUUGCCCCAAGCCUCCACCCUCCAUCACAAGGACUUCCCAUGCCCUCAAAUCCUCCAAAACACAUUUAAGACCCACUUCUUCAGAAACAAAAUCCACCUAAGCAAAUGCAGAAGGUAACUGUGCUGCUAAGGAGCAGCGGAUGCCCUGGGAGCGAGUGUUGAUAGAUUUCCACAUGAAUUCAGAUCCCUACCAAGAAGUUGCAGUUCCUGUGAGCUCUCACCCGUUACUGUUAUAACAGCACCAGAUAUAUGUUCAUGGUGUUGCACAACUUCUUCCAAGUUAAAACGUAUGGUGAGGGUGUCAGCUUGGAAGGGAAGUGGUAAAGCAGCAUCUUCACUGGCUGUGGGUGCUGUUGCAUCUCCUGUGCUUCCACUGCUUACUGGUUUAUGAAACACCAGAACUGCCUCGGGAGUAUCUCACUGGUAAAAAUUGAGCUAUGAGGGGAAUAUGCAAAGAAAAGAAAGUUUGAAAAGCAGAAAUGUAUUUCAUACAAGGGUUUUACGGUCUUUGUCAAGUGCAGAUGUGUCAAAAUGAUUCCACUGGAAACUUUAUAUAAAAUGGUUAAUGUAAAGGGGUUCUUGCAAUCCUGGCAUCUCCUUCCCCUCUCUCAAGAGCUGUUGUAGCUCAUGACAGCUCUGUUCUGCAUACUGGGAACAUCAGCAGCUGGAAAUUAUCAUUUGUUACUCUUACUCUUUCUGUAACUUGUUUCAGAGAUUCUACUGGUAAUGAGGGCUUUUGCCCUUUUACCUUUGGGACAGCUUGGAAUUCCUCUCAGAGCCAGAAAUCACUGAAUUAUAACUAGUAGGGAAAAAAUGUAGCAUUUAGUACGGUAUUCAGACGAGUUGUGGGCAUUCCUUAAAUUCCUUCAGAGGACAGUCAGAGGGACAGACGUGUCAUUGCAGCUCGGGGCUCUCUUUCACCAUUGCUCUGCUAUUGCAUGAUGCUCUUCUUAAAAACUCCCCCUUGCUUAUUUACCUUUCUAAAGAUUUUACCUAAGAGUUCUCAGCUGCCUUUUGGACUUACG